RNAcentral lists this transfer RNA (72 nucleotides) under Coemansia sp. RSA 552. RNAcentral's name for it is "tRNA-Met". It matches the Rfam family "tRNA". Rfam says of the family: Transfer RNA (tRNA) molecules are approximately 80 nucleotides in length. Their secondary structure includes four short double-helical elements and three loops (D, anti-codon, and T loops). Further hydrogen bonds mediate the characteristic L-shaped molecular structure. tRNAs have two regions of fundamental functional importance: the anti-codon, which is responsible for specific mRNA codon recognition, and the 3' end, to which the tRNAs corresponding amino acid is attached (by aminoacyl-tRNA synthetases). tRNAs cope with the degeneracy of the genetic code in two manners: having more than one tRNA (with a specific anti-codon) for a particular amino acid; and 'wobble' base-pairing, i.e. permitting non-standard base-pairing at the 3rd anti-codon position. The record is from RNAcentral. Lineage: Eukaryota; Fungi; Kickxellomycota; Kickxellomycetes; Kickxellales; Kickxellaceae.
GGGGGGAUAGCUUAAUGGUAAAGCAUACUGCUCAUAACAGGAAAAAUGUUAGUUCGAAUCUGACUCCCCCCA